This 253-nucleotide ribosomal RNA is filed under the name uncultured bacterium. RNAcentral's name for it is "partial 16S ribosomal RNA". It matches the Rfam family "Bacterial small subunit ribosomal RNA", at positions 524 to 776 of the family's 1533-position model. The record is from RNAcentral.
UACGUAGGGUGCAAGCGUUGUCCGGAAUUAUUGGGCGUAAAGAGCUCGUAGGCGGUCUGUCGCGUCGGCUGUGAAAACCCGGGGCUCAACCCCGGGCCUGCAGUCGAUACGGGCAGACUAGAGUGUGGUAGGGGAGACUGGAAUUCCUGGUGUAGCGGUGGAAUGCGCAGAUAUCAGGAGGAACACCGGUGGCGAAGGCGGGUCUCUGGGCAGUAACUGACGCUGAGGAGCGAAAGCGUGGGGAGCGAACAGG